This 489-nucleotide long non-coding RNA is filed under the name Mytilus galloprovincialis (Mediterranean mussel). The record is from RNAcentral. Lineage: Eukaryota; Metazoa; Mollusca; Bivalvia; Mytilida; Mytilidae.
GGGGGGAGGGGCGGGCAUCAUUGGAAGAUCUCCCAUCUCUGACUCAAAAUAUUGAUAAUUUUUAUCUUGUCCCUGACAGCUUCAGACAUAAUAAUUUUGAACCUUCUAUUUUUUUAUAUAGACAAUACCCUUUUCUAAAAUUGAGAAUGGAAAUGGGGAAUGUGUCAAAGAGACAACAAUCCGACCAUAGAACAGACAACAACAUAAGGUCAACAAUAGGUCUUCAAUGCAGCGCGAAACUCCCGCACCCGGAGGCGUCCUUUAGCUUGCCUCUAAACAAAUAUAUAUCUACUAGUUCAGUGAUAAUGGACGUCAUACUAAACAAACUAAACACAAAAAAAUAAAAAUAAAAAUAAUACAAGACUUACAAAGGCCAGAGGCUCCUGACUUGGGACAGGUGCAAAAAUGCGGUGGGGUUAAACAUGUUUUUGAGAUCUCUCCCCCAAUACAUCUGGCCAAAGUAAAAAAGUAAACGCAUAACCAUACGCA